GAAAAGAGUAGGGAAGUGUGUGAGCCAUGCGUCAAGAAAAGCUGCUAUUGUUCUUACUGUACCCGUACCGUAAACCGACACAGGUGGAUGAGGAGAGAAUCCUAAGGCCGGCGGAAGAAGCAUUGUUAAGGAACUCGGCAAAAUGACCCUGUAACUUCGGGAGAAAGGGUGCCCUCGUAAGAGGGCCGCAGAGAAUAGGCUCAAGCAACUGUUUAGCAAAAACACAGGUCUAUGCAAAACCGUAAGGUGAGGUAUAUGGGCUGACGCCUGCCCGGUGCUGGAAGGUUAAGAGGAGAGGUUAGCGAAAGCGAAGCUUUGAAUUUAAGCCCCAGUAAACGGCGGCCGUAACUAUAACGGUCCUAAGGUAGCGAAAUUCCUUGUCGGGUAAGUUCCGACCCGCACGAAAGGCGUAAUGAUUUGAGCACUGUCUCGACAAUGCAUCCGGUGAAAUUGAAGUACCAGUGAAGAUGCUGGUUACCUGCGCCAGGACGGAAAGACCCCAUGGAGCUUUACUCCAGUUUGGUACUGGGAUCCGGUAUUGCAUGUACAGGAUAGGUGGGAGGCUGAGAAACGGUUACGCCAGUAGCCGCGGAGCCAAUGUUGGGUUACCACCCUUGCAGUAUUGGGUUUCUAACCAGCCGCCGUGACCCGGCGGUGGGACAAUGCCAGGCGGGGAGUUUGACUGGGGCGGUCGCCUCCGAAAGGGUAUCGGAGGCGCUCAAAGGUUCCCUCAGAAUGGUUGGAAACCAUUCGAAGAGUGCAAAGGCAGAAGGGAGCUUGACUGCGACACCGACGGGUGGAGCAGGUACGAAAGUAGGACUUAGUGAUCCGGUGGUAUUAAGUGGGAAUGCCAUCGCUCAACGGAUAAAAGCUACCCUGGGAUAACAGGCUUAUCACUCCCAAGAGUUCACAUCGACGGAGUGGUUUGGCACCUCGAUGUCGGCUCAUCGCAUCCUGGGGCUGUAGUAGGUCCCAAGGGUUGGGCUGUUCGCCCAUUAAAGCGGUACGCGAGCUGGGUUCAGAACGUCGUGAGACAGUUCGGUCCCUAUCCGGCGUGGGCGUAGGAUAUUUGAGAGGAGCUGUCCUUAGUACGAGAGGACCGGGAUGGACUGACCUCUGGUGUACCGGUUGCACCGCCAGGUGCAUGGCCGGGUAGCCAAGUCGGGAAGGGAUAAACGCUGAAGGCAUCUAAGCGUGAAGCCCCCCUCAAGAUGAGAUAUCCCAUGCGAAAGCAAUAAGACCCCUUGAAGACGACGAGGUAGAUAGGGCAGAGGUGGAAGUGCAGUAAUGUAUGGAGCUGACUGUCACUAAUAGGUCGAAGGCUUGACC
This 1329-nucleotide ribosomal RNA is filed under the name metagenome. Its description in RNAcentral is "bacterial LSU rRNA". It matches the Rfam family "Bacterial large subunit ribosomal RNA", at positions 1578 to 2925 of the family's 2925-position model. The record is from RNAcentral.